Molecule: ribosomal RNA, 528 nt
Filed under: uncultured bacterium
Lineage: Bacteria
Description: bacterial SSU rRNA
Rfam family: Bacterial small subunit ribosomal RNA
Source: RNAcentral
CCUUGACAUCCAGAGACUUAGCAGAGAUGCUUUGGUGCCUUCGGGAACUCUGAGACAGGUGCUGCAUGGCUGUCGUCAGCUCGUGUUGUGAAAUGUUGGGUUAAGUCCGCAACGAGCGCAACCCUUAUCCUUUGUUGCCAGCGGUUCGGCCGGGAACUCAAAGGAGACUGCCGGUGAUAAACCGGGGGAAGGUGGGGAUGACGUCAAGUCAUCAUGGCCCUUACGGCCAGGGCUACACACGUGCUACAAUGGCGCAUACAAAGAGAAGCGACCUCGCGAGAGCAAGCGGACCUCAUAAAGUGCGUCGUAGUCCGGAUUGGAGUCUGCAACUCGACUCCAUGAAGUCGGAAUCGCUAGUAAUCGUAGAUCAGAAUGCUACGGUGAAUACGUUCCCGGGCCUUGUACACACCGCCCGUCACACCAUGGGAGUGGGUUGCAAAAGAAGUAGGUAGCUUAACCUUCGGGAGGGCGCUUACCACUUUGUGAUUCAUGACUGGGGUGAAGUCGUAACAAGGUAAGCGUAGCGAG